Physeter macrocephalus (sperm whale) is the source of this 2904-nucleotide long non-coding RNA. RefSeq lists it as uncharacterized. The transcript has 2 exons. Lineage: Eukaryota; Metazoa; Chordata; Mammalia; Artiodactyla; Physeteridae. The record is from RefSeq and is a predicted model, not a curated record.
GCCGGGGGUGGGGGGGAGCGGAGCAAGCAAGAACAGGGUAGCCAGGGGGAGAUGAGCAGAGAAGCAAACCACGCACUAUCUCCUUGAUCAUUUCAACACGCCAGGAGACAAGUCCUGCGUCAUCCUCGUGUCACAAAUGAGGCAACCAAGGCACAGAGAAAGGAAGCACCUUUCCCGCGGUCACACGGCCAGGAACUGGUGGAGCCAGGAGUCUGACCACAGGACAGUGUGACGCUUUGCUGCCGCCACCCACAGCGCCCCUCUCCAGACACCGACCCUACUACCACCUGGCUGAUGUGUAAUCACUCCUGGAGUCCUUGCAGCGAUGUGUCUGGAGAGAGAGCUCAGAGGAGAGGGGUGCACUUCUCAGAACCCUCUUUUGACCCCGUGCCCUGGCUGGAAAGCCCGGUCGCUCGGUGAGAGGUCAGAGGCCUCCCUGGACCGUCUUCACCAGGGUUUGAGCUGACCCCAAGCAAAGCAGGAACUCCACGGGCGGCGGGGCUCAUCACCUGUGUACUCGGUCGGUCGCACAGUUCCUCCCCCCAGGGACCAGCAGCAUCCCUGCCAAGAGCCCGCCCUCGAUGGCCCCUCCAGCCUCACCUUAUACAGGUAAAGCUUGUUCUCAGAACUCUUGAGAUCCAGCUCCAGGUCCAACGCUGCGAUGCCCUCCUUGUUGACCUUGAUGUGUCUCGGUUUGGAGGUGGCGUUGAUGUACUGGGGAAGACGAACCAGCCAAGGGAGCCCUCUGAGCACUCUCCUUGGGGCUCCAAACCCUCAGCCCCCAUCCCCCAGCAGCCCCGCCCAGCAGGCAUCUGCCCGGUUUACAACCGGGAGGCUGGGUCCCGUGUCAAAGCAGGUGGAGGGGCCCAGAGGGGGGAAGCUGGGCCCCUGGCUGGGAGGCUGGACGAACCACCUUCAUGCUGAUAACAUGCUAUUUUCAAGGUCUCAGAAAUCAAGGAUCUCAAGGGAACAAAAGAACAACUGUUAUCAGGCAAGAGAAGCAACAACAGCAAAGACAAGACACCAGUUGUGAAGACUGCAGCUCUGAGUCGAUGGUGAAGAUCAGCCUGACGCUCAGCCACCAGGUCAACGGGAACCUCAGGGAUGGAGAAGUUGACCUUCUGUGACCCCCGUGACUUCCGUCAACUGAAGCCCGGACCCUGUCGAUCUUUGCCCUGAUUCUACGCCGACUUCUCCCCUGCUCAGGCCCCUUCAUGAACACACACGUACCCUUAGCUUAAAGCCUCCCCGGUCUUACAGUUGGGGAGGCACGGCUUUGGGAAAGUUCCCCAUGGUUUCCUCACUUGCCGCAAGCAAUGAAUCCUUCCUUCUCCUGGUCUUUGGCCUGGUUGUGUCUUUUGGCUCGACACCCACCAAGAGGUGAACCCAGUCUUUUGGGUAAGAGGACCUCUGCCCCGCUGAAACUGUGCACCUCAGAUUGGGACUCGAACCCACAUGCCAGGGCUCAAACCCGGCCAAAACCCAGAUUGGGACUUGAACCCAUGCGGCCGGGACUCGAACCCGGCCAAAACCCGUGGUCUUCCAACUGAGAUCACACACCUUGUUUCAGGACUUAAUGAAGCUCAGGUUCUCUCUCUCUCUUUUUUUUAUUAAAUUUAUUUAUUUAUUUAUGGCUGUGUUGGGUCUUCGUUGCUGUGCGCGGGCUUCCUCUAGCUGUGGCGAGCGGGGGCUACUCUUUGUUGCGGUGCGCGGGCUUCUCAUUGCGGUGGCUUCUCUUGUUGUGGAUCACAGGCUCUAGGCGCGCAGGCUUCAGUAGUUGCAGCACGUGGGCUCAGCAGUUGUGGCUCGCAGGCCCUAGAGCGCAGGCUCAGUAGUUGUGGCGCACGGGCUUAGUUGCUCCGCGGCGUGUGGGAUCUUUCCAGACCAGGGCUCGAACCUGUGUCCCCUGCAUUGGCAGGUGGAUUCUGAACCACUGUGGAAGCCCGAAGCUCAGGUUCUUGAUGUCUCAUCACAGAAAGAAUUCAGUGAGAGACAAAGUGAUAGAUAAGAAGUGGAUUUAUUUAGAGAGAAACACACUCCACAGAGAGAGUUGGCCAUCUCAGAAGGUGAGAAAGGCACCAGGGUGUGGGGCUGUCAGCUUUUAUAGGGGUGGGUAAUUUCAUAGGCUAAUGAGGGGGAGGAGUAUUAUAGCUAUUUCAGGAAGGGGCGGGGACUUCCAGGAAUUGGACCACCGCCCAUUUUUUGAUCCUUCUGGUCGGCCUUGGAACUGUCAUGGCACCUGUGGGUGUGUCAUUCAGCUUACUGAUGUGUUACACUGAGCGUAUCCUGAGGCUCACGGUGUAGUGGAAGUCGACUGACCACCAUCUUGGACCCACUUGGUUCUAAUCAGUUUAUGUCAUGUCCUCGGGCUAUGUCAUUCUUUCAAAGGUUUCUAAUCAGUUUACGUCAUGUCCUCGGGCUAUGUCAUUCUUUCAAAGGUUUCUAAUCAGUUUACGUCAUGUCCUCGGGCUAUGUCAACCAUUCUUUCAGAGGUUGUGCCCUGCCCCCUUCCCUCCUGUUUCAAGUUUGUCCCAUUGUACCGAUGAGGAAACUUGGGUUGGAAGAAGUUAAUUUUCCCAGCUCAAGGGUCGGGGGGCUGGGAUUUAGAAUUGACUUUUGUGACUUCAAAGCCCAGGCCUUUCCACUUCACCUUCUGCCUCUCCUUGAACAUGUGUAAAGUACUCUGUGUGGGAAGCAGGGGCGGUGGGGGGGGGGGGCAAGCCCGUGACCCAGCUCGGGCCUGGCCCGGGGCUCUGGCAGUACUCUGCUGAGUCAUCCCACCGUGGGGCAGUGACCAGGGCCUCCUCCCCGCUGCUUGACGCUCCUCUUCACAUCAGAGCGGACUGACCUGGGCAUCCGCGAGGCCCCCUUACCUCUCCAGGCCCGGGGCCUCCACUCCAGAGG